Molecule: long non-coding RNA, 656 nt
Organism: Otolemur garnettii (small-eared galago)
Lineage: Eukaryota; Metazoa; Chordata; Mammalia; Primates; Galagidae
Exons: 3
Source: RefSeq, a predicted model, not a curated record
UACAUUAUUGUAGCAUGUUCCUACCACAUCCCUCUGAGUUAGGAAGCUUGGACACAUAAAGGCUAACCAACAACUGUUCAUUAUCAAUAUUUAUUCUGACACCUUUGCCCAUUCUCUACUUUUCCUAACCAUUUGGUGGGUGUGAUGAACACAUUAUUAACUUCUAACAAAAAAUUUCCUGCCUAAAGACUUGUUGCUUAAUAGGGUUAAAAUAAUGAUAAAGCUUCUGACACCUUUGCAUUGUUGGCAUGAGAUUGAAGGUUUUAUUUUAAGUAGCUGUUUUCUAAACUGAAGUUCAGCAUGAUGGAAGAGUAACCUCUAAGGGCUAUCUACUUGAAGAUUGUUUACUUGGGGAUUAGCAAGACGCUUGGUGGCUUAUUACAAGUUUGGCUUCUUCCUGGAGACACCUGAAGCCUUGAAACUUUCGGAGGCAUGCCCCGUUCCGCUGGUGUGAUUAGAGCAUUGCAGGGAUUUGUUUCAUGAAGAAAUUCAACCAUCAAUAUGAGAGCAUGCUUCCUGGGAUGUCUCUGACAAGAAGCUUGGAUACCCUGGUUCCUGGGGCUGUGGCUGACACUGCACGAGACAAGAUGAGGCAGGAAUACCAUCCGACAUGUUCCUGUCAGGAGCUGUCAUGAGGUGCUGCUUUUACUGGGAAG